RNAcentral lists this ribosomal RNA (422 nucleotides) under Ameerega sp. pulchripecta ABGD cluster 23. Its description in RNAcentral is "partial large subunit ribosomal RNA". It matches the Rfam family "Bacterial large subunit ribosomal RNA", at positions 1834 to 2457 of the family's 2925-position model. Lineage: Eukaryota; Metazoa; Chordata; Amphibia; Anura; Dendrobatidae. The record is from RNAcentral.
CUUGCUCAGUUAUAAGAGGUCCAGCCUGCCCAGUGACUUUGUUCAACGGCCGCGGUAUCCUAACCGUGCGAAGGUAGCGUAAUCACUUGUUCUUUAAAUGAGGACUAGUAUGAAUGGCCCCACGAGGGCUACACUGUCUCCUUUUUCUAAUCAAUGAAACUAAUCUCCCCGUGAAGAAGCGGGGAUGACCUUAUAAGACGAGAAGACCCUAUGGAGCUUUAAACAACUGAAACAUUUGCUUUUCUCUCAGCCCCUCCAGAGCUCUUUAUUUUACUUAAGCAUUUUAUUUCUAGUUUUAGGUUGGGGUGACCACGGAGCAAAACUAAGCCUCCAUGAAGAAAUGAACAUUUUUUAAGCCACAAACUACUUUUUUAAGCAUCAACAAAUUGACCUUCAUUGACCCAAUAUAUUGAUCAACGAAC